ACCUGGGUCUUCACCUGGCUGAGGACUCUCUCUAAGUGUUUAAGGUCUCUCUCUCUCUCUCUCUCUCUCUCUCUCUCUCUCUAAGUGUUUAGGGUCUCUCUCUCUCUCUCUCUAAGUGUUUAAGGUCUCUCUCUCUCUCUCUCUCUCUCUCUCUCUCUAAGUGUUUAGGGUCUCUCUCUCUCUCUCUCUAAGUGUUUAAGGUCUGACUCUCUUUCUCUCUCUAAGUGUUUAAGGUCUGACUCUCUCUCUCUCUCUCUCUCUAAGUGUUUAAGGUCUCUCUCUCUCUGUCUCUCUCUCUCUCUAAGUGUUUAAGGUCUCUCUCUCUCUCUCUCUCUCUCUAAGUGUUUAGGGUCUCUCUCUCUCUCUAAGUGUUUAAGGUCUCUCUCUCUUUCUCUAAGUGUUUAAGGUGUGUCUCUCCCUCUCUCUCUAAGUGUUUAAGGUCUGAUUCUCUCUCUCUCUCUCUCUCUCUCUCUAAGUGUUUAAGGUCUCUCUCUCUCUCUCUCUCUCUCUAAGUGUUUAAGGUCUGUCUCUCUCUCUCUCUCUAAGUGUUUAAGGUCUGACUCUCUCUAAGUGUUUAAGGUAUCUCUCUCUCUCUCUCUCU
Clupea harengus (Atlantic herring) is the source of this 601-nucleotide long non-coding RNA. The record is from Ensembl. NCBI's taxonomy places the organism in Eukaryota, Metazoa, Chordata, Actinopteri, Clupeiformes, Clupeidae.